UGACUAUAAGUUUAACGGCCGCGGUAUUUUGACCGUGCAAAGGUAGCGCAAUCACUUGUCUUUUAAAUGAAGACCUGUAUGAAUGGCACGACGAGGGCUUAACUGUCUCCUUUUUUCAGUCAAUGAAAUUGAUCUUCCCGUGCAGAAGCGGGAAUAUAAACAUAAGACGAGAAGACCCUAUGGAGCUUUAAACACAAGACAGCCCAUGUUAAAGGCCCUUCUAUCAAUGGAGGCUAAACUAAUUGGAACCUGUCUUAAUGUUUUUGGUUGGGGCGACCACGGGGAAACACAAAACCCCCAUGUGGACCAGGAAUACUUUUUCCUACAACUAAGAGCUACAACUCUAAUUAACAGAACUUCUGACCAGUUUUGAUCCGGCAAUGCCGAUCAACGGACCGAGUUACCCUAGGGAUAACAGCGCAAUCCCUUCUUAGAGCCCAUAUCGACGAAGGGGUUUACGACCUCGAU
RNAcentral lists this ribosomal RNA (468 nucleotides) under Hysterocarpus traskii (Tule perch). RNAcentral describes it as "partial 16S ribosomal RNA". It matches the Rfam family "Bacterial large subunit ribosomal RNA", at positions 1908 to 2530 of the family's 2925-position model. The record is from RNAcentral. Lineage: Eukaryota; Metazoa; Chordata; Actinopteri; Embiotocidae.